CCCGCAACGAGCGCAACCCUACUCAUCUGUUGCCAGCAUUUAAGGUGGAGGACUCAGAUGAGACUGCCGGUGACAAACCGGAGGAAGGUGGGGACGACGUCAAGUCAUCAUGGCCCUUAUGUCCUGGGCUACACACGUGCUACAAUGGCCGGUACAGAGUGAAGCGAAACCGCGAGGUGAAGCAAAACGCAGAAAGCCGGUCUCAGUACGGAUUGGAGUCUGAAACUCGACUUCAUGAAGUUGGAAUCGCUAGUAAUCGCGCAUCAGCAUGGCGCGGUGAAUACGUUCCCGGGCCUU
RNAcentral lists this ribosomal RNA (297 nucleotides) under uncultured Spirochaeta sp. RNAcentral's name for it is "partial 16S ribosomal RNA". It matches the Rfam family "Bacterial small subunit ribosomal RNA", at positions 1086 to 1382 of the family's 1533-position model. Lineage: Bacteria; Pseudomonadati; Spirochaetota; Spirochaetia; Spirochaetales; Spirochaetaceae. The record is from RNAcentral.